GCGGGCGUAGCUCAGGGGUAGAGCACAACCUUGCCAAGGUUGGGGUCGAGAGUUCGGAUCUCUUCGCCCGCUCCA
This 75-nucleotide transfer RNA is filed under the name Altererythrobacter sp. BO-6. RNAcentral describes it as "tRNA-Gly". It matches the Rfam family "tRNA". Rfam says of the family: Transfer RNA (tRNA) molecules are approximately 80 nucleotides in length. Their secondary structure includes four short double-helical elements and three loops (D, anti-codon, and T loops). The record is from RNAcentral. Lineage: Bacteria; Pseudomonadati; Pseudomonadota; Alphaproteobacteria; Sphingomonadales; Erythrobacteraceae.